Ipomoea nil (Japanese morning glory) is the source of this 2513-nucleotide RNA transcript. It is a transcript of the gene named myosin-binding protein 7-like, with no coding region annotated. Lineage: Eukaryota; Viridiplantae; Streptophyta; Magnoliopsida; Solanales; Convolvulaceae. The record is from RefSeq and is a predicted model, not a curated record. The transcript has 4 exons.
ACGAAAUGGGAAAAGCAAAACGAUAAAUAAAUAUGUAGUUGGGGCUUCCAACUUCUAUCUCUCGCUUUCUCUCUAGAAGCUUUGAAUAUCUUUUUAUUUUUAGUUUUUUAGUUUUUUUUUUUUUCGUUGUUUCUUCUAUCUCAAUUUUCCAAAUCUCCGGGGAGAAAAAUUUUCUGAUAUCGGAAAGCUCAGAGAGUUGAUCGUUGAAGAAAACUUUUCUCUCCCGGAACAAAAUAAAAAAAUAAAAAAAAAAAAAAAAUAAAAAGCGGUUCGGCGACUCUCGUUUUCAGGUAACUCGUCUGCAUUGAUCGUUGGAUAUAUUUUUUAUGUAUGCAUGCACACAGUGUAUAUGCGUGAUUGGAAUUAGGGCUUGAUCGAACGUGAAUUGGUAGUUUUUUGUGAUUUGCAGGGGUAUUGUUGUGUAUAUUGCGUGUUUUGCUUGUGGAUAAGGGAGAUUUGACGUGUUAGUGGCGAGGGAGGAGUGAUUGAAGAGGGAGGGAUCGAAGCUUGGUUGUAUUGGUUUAUUAUUACUCCGUAUUAUUUUUUGUUUGAUUGCGUUUUUGUUUUUGUUGAGUGAUUGAUUACGGUGUGUUUGGAUUUGAGGCCGGAUGUGGCAUUAAUAAGACUAUGGGAUCUGAGAAUAUGUCGCCGUCCACUAGCAUGGCGCAAUGUUGCGAUUGCGAUUGCAGCUGUUCGGCGGCGGACAGAUCCAUUGCAGGGUCGUGGCUCCGCUCUGUUAAGCGAAAGUAUGAUGAAUUUGAUGAUUCUGUGUCUUCUGUCCCGGAGUUCGUCAUGCCUCUGACGGCGAAGGUUGAGAUCGGGAAUGAAUGUGCUGCUCUGCGUGAAAUGGUGAGCGGCCAGCAGAAGAGCAUUCAGGAUUUGAGUAAGGAGUUGGAUGCGGAGAGGAAUGCAUCCUCCUCUGCAGCCAAUGAGGCGAUGCAAAUGAUCCUGAGGCUGGAAAGAGAAAAGGCCGAGAUUCAGAUGGAAUUCACGCAAUUCAAGAGAUUUACUGAGGAGAAAACCGCGCACGAGCAGCAAGAGGCGUUGUCAUUGGAGGACCUGUUGUAUAAGAGGGAUCAAGCAAUUGAAGCUUUGACAUGUGAGGUGCAAAUGUACAAGCACAGGAUGUUGAGUUUGGGGUUCACAGAGUCUGAGGUUGAGGUAGAGCUUGAGAAAGAGAGGGAUCGUUUGAGCUGCAAUAAUAGCCUCUCCGAGAAUUCAAAUGGACAAUCUGAAGUCCCUCAAUAUGAGUAUCCCCCACUAAAAUGCUUCAAUGAGAAUCAAGUUUACAAGCUGACUGAUGGUGAGGAUGUGGAUGUCGAGAAAUAUGCAUUUGGGGAGACCCCACGCACCCCGGUCGACCAUUUCCUGGAUUUGGACAGUAGGAUCAUCCAGUUGGAAAGGAGUCCUAUGAGUCCUAGGAUCGCCCAAUUGGAAAGGAGUCCUAUGAGUCCUAGGAUCGCCCAAUUGGAAAGGAAUCCUAUGAGUCCUAGGAUCAGUCAUCCUGAUGGUGAUUUCUAUAAGAACAAUGCCCUUGAAAAGGUGAUAGUUGGUCAAUCUCCAAGGAGGCCAAGUCAUUUGAAGAUGUUUUCAAAUGAUAGUGCAGGAUCUUUACUCAUAACAAAUAAAGAAAUGAGUUAUGAUUUUGUAGUCGAGUCUCCAAAGUCCACUGUCAGUUUUAAGAAGACAGAAAUUUCUCAGAAAGACGAUCUUUCAAACUUGAGGAAAGUGGAUAAUGCAUCAGAAGUUGAAGAUUGCAUGAGUGACAGAGUUUAUACAAUCGAUCCCAUUCAUCUAGGGGCCGCACCUUAUAAUGGUGUGAUAGAUCGUAAGCCAUCCCUUGGAAUCUGUGAGGAUUAUAUUACAACCCCACGGGAUUCAUUGAUUUAUACAAACACAGAAGACAUUGAUAUCAAGAAGCUGUAUGCAAGGCUUCAUGCACUUGAGGCUGAUCGGGAGUCAAUGAGGCAGGCAUUAAUUUCAAUUAGCACUGAUAACUCACAACUGGUAUUGCUGAAAGAGAUUGCCCAACAGUUGGCAAAAGACAUGUCACAACCGAAGAGGAGAUUUGUGAAGAAACCAUCCACCACUGGCAGCUUUAAAGUUGUCUCAAUAUUCAAGUGGAUGAUAUCCUUUGUGUCAUGGAGAAAGAAAUCACGCCGAUGCAAGUACAUGUUUGGAUUGUCAGGAAGCAAUGCAGGCUUGCUAGUGCUUUUAGACAAGGGACCUCGAGGUCCCUGGAGGUGCAUUUCAAGCACACAGGUCUGAAACCUGUUUCCAUAUCAAUGCAGAGAGAGGAUUUUUGGCUGACCUCUCACUCUUGGCAUUUCAUUCAUUUUAAAAAAAAAAAAUUAAUAACUUUUUUGAUUCAAUGAUCCUGAAAAAUUGAGGCAAGUAGUCUUUCACUUAAAAGUUUGAAUGAUAAAAUUUUGUUGACUGGGGAGUGGAAGGCUAGAUUCAGUAAUGCCACGUGGGAGGUUGUGCUUAUGUGGCUGUUCUAGACGACGACCUAC